GUCUAAAUAUUCUCAAUAAUUGUAACUUAAAAAGAUUUCAUGGGAAUGAAAUUUUAAAACUUAAUUCAAAAUAUGGUACCUAUAUUAAUUAGGGAUUUAACUAAACAACAUGGGAUAUUUUACCCAGCGCACUCUCGGAAAGGAUGUCACAGAGGAAACGCAGCCUAAGAAUUCACCCUGACUGCGAUCACAGCUCACAAGGUGCCAUGAAACCCGUACUGCGAGCACAGCUGGGCGGCAGCAAAUGAUUCUCUGGACUUCCUUGGUAAUCGAAAUUUCAUUGGUGACGACGACAUGGACAAAAAUUCCAAACACCGUACAGAGCCCCCCCCCAUCCUUUUACCGACAUUGACGACGAUGUCUACUGUUAUUUUGAGAUUAGAAAGUGAAACCAUUUUCACGACGUUGGCGAUCAGUUGAUCACGCAUCCGGGAAUCAGGAUAGCAUGUCACGUGUUUGAUGAGAGUCCUGAAUGACAGUCUGUUUCGUCAUCCUGAAGAAUUUCUUAUGGGAAUCUCACUGCAACUGCUUAUUCUGAUGCUUUCCACCAUUCUCUCUCUCUCUCUCUCUCUCUCUCUCUCUCUAAUAAUUCUUCGUUUAUUUUUUUGGGUAAGUUUUGGUUUUUUAAUGAGCAGUAAACUGUUAGGUGAUGCGAGCAUUGGUGGGUCUAGAAGAAGGGAUUUAAAUCUUUAAUAGCAGCAGUUGUGAACGAAUCAAGGAGCUCGCAUUUUCGGAAGAGUUCCCAAAACAUGAAUAGAAGGCUGUGACUGGAGUGAAAUACAUUUGCAGCACCUACCUGUCAUAUUCGUGAACAAGUGGGGUCUUCAGAGGACCAAGCAGGUUGCACAUUUUGUGUGGCAUGUGUAAGAUUCAUGGGAUGAAAAAUACCUUUCAUGAUAACUGCUGGCUGCCAGCGACGGUUUAUGGGUGGGAACAAUAAAAUUCUAGUGUCGUGGAGGCAUCUAAUCUUCCAAGAUGCAAUGAUUGUGCCACUGCAUUCUGUUCUCAACUCCUUGUCUCCAACAUGAUGAACAAAGCAACUGAGCUUCAAAGCCAGUCGGCUUUGAACAUAUGCUUCUAUCCAUCGCAUUUCCUGCCAUUGGCACUUAACAGCACGAUGACAUUGUUUUUGAUUAGGAGAUAGGCAUUAAUGCUUGGGAAUUACUUUCCAUGUGUCAAUGCCACUUGAUUUUCAAUAUAUGGCACUUCCAAGAGCAUAAAAAGAAUUUCUGGAAGAGCAUGAACAAAAAAAUGUUUGCUUAGAAAAUAUAAGGAUAAUUUUGCUGCACCUCUUGUAAACCAAAUGCGAUUCACUGCUAUAUUCUUUCUUCUAUUCUUCAUCUUUCAUUCUGUUUGACGGGCCCUUGCCCAGUGCACUGAUUCAUAGUUAAUAAAUUCUUUUCAGUCCUUUGAACUAA
This is a long non-coding RNA of Malania oleifera, 1418 nucleotides long. RefSeq lists it as uncharacterized. The transcript is spliced from 2 exons. The record is from RefSeq and is a predicted model, not a curated record. NCBI's taxonomy places the organism in Eukaryota, Viridiplantae, Streptophyta, Magnoliopsida, Santalales, Ximeniaceae.